UUUUUCUUCUCAUGUUUGGAGGAAGUGCGCGUAGCAUGCACAGCACCACCGGAUCCGUACGUACGUACGCUUCUUUGCUGAAAUGAAGUGACUCAUCAUCGUGCAUUAUAUCCUGUAUAGUCUCUAAAAGUGUCGCCUAAAUCUUCCCAUUCGUUUGACGAACUCUCUGAAAUCAACAUGGCAGGGAGCGGAGCUGCAAAAUGUGGAUUUAUUCUCCUGGAUGCCCUGGCAUUGGUGCUCGUUGCAGUACCGGCAAUAUUGUUCCGUAUUCCGGGGCUAAAAUUGCCCAUUUACCAGCGAGGCUUCUUCUGCGGUGACGAGAGCCUGUCGUAUCCCUACAAAGAUUCUACGGUGUCGUCAGCACUGUUGUAUUCGGUGGGAGUGGGACUUCCCCUUAUUCUGAUUCUACUUACAGAGGUGACCAUCUUUGCCUAUCGGCGUCGCCAGGACACCGAGUAUCUCCCGCCGGGCAGCUUCAACCGCUGCUGCUGCGAUGUGGUCAUCCCGCCACUCCUCUACCAGCUCCUUAAGUACGCUGCCCAGUUCUUCUUUGGCUUCUUUGUGACGUUGGCUGUCUACGACAUCUCCAAGAACGUGAUCGGCCGGCUCAGGCCCCACUUCUUCGACAUCUGCCAGCCCAACUUUGAGGGCUUCAACUGCACGGAAGGGGGACGACCCGUGUACGUGGAAGAUUACGAGUGCCUGGGAGACAAUGAACACAGGAUUGAAGAAUCACAUCGUUCCUUUCCAUCUGGCCACGCGGCAACCUCUGUCUAUUGCAUGCUGUAUCUGACGCUGUAUCUCCAGUCACGUUGGAAGUGGGGCGACACAGCCUUUCUGCGACCCCUGAUGCAGUUCAUUGCCCUCCUGCUGGCUCUCUACACCUGCCUAAGUCGCAUCUCUGACUACAAGCACCACUGGAGUGAUGUGCUAGGGGGCGCUGUCAUAGGUGCAAUCAUCGCAGUGCUCGUGUAUUUUGGUGUCAACCCCCAAAAGAAAGAGCGUCGGAGCAACGGACCUCUACCGAAACCGCAACAUAGGAACAUCCAGUCACCACAAUUCCGAAAUGGUCUUCAUGGAAAUGAACCCACGUUCGACUCGUAACAAGAACGACGGCUACCUCUGAGGCACGACGCCGUUGCCUAGUGAUCAACUGGAGAAGAGAUUGGAGUAUAUUUGUACCCUUUUUUGGUGGUAGUGGUGGGGGGAGGGAAUAAGGCAAGCCUUCAGCAGUGGCUUGACACUGUGUACUUUCUUGGGGUUUGGGGCUGUAAACUAUGCCCUUGAAUGGCUUAGCAUCCGAAUUAGCAUGAGGCCACUGUGAGCGACUUGAAAUGCCAAAAAGUCACGCUAAUAUGGAUUAAAGGAUUUUACUACUUACAAAAUAAAAAAAAAAAAGCCCAGUCUUAAUGAAUUACAAAGAUAACAUUUCACAGAGCUUUCAAGCAGGCAACGUGGGCCGAGUUUUUGGAUGGUCUCUUUGUGACAUGAGUUCCCUACUCAUUGGCCAGAACAGGCAACGUUGGAACUCUUUGGCCAUACUAGUAAGUAUCAACUGUAGAACAAAUAUACACAGUGCACAGCACAUGUCCCUGUGGGAUUUGCCAGACUAUGGUGCUGGAUCUCAACCACACAAAUGAUUUGGUGCCCACUUUUGUUUUCAAAGAGUGUAUGAGCCAAAGUCUUAUUUGCACUGUUAUUGAAAACAAAAAUUUCGUCAAAGCCCAAUGCUGUCUCAGAGGCUCUGUGAUUUCCAUACAGGCCCCAUGCUCUUUGAAAUCAAAGGUCGGGGGCAGGCUUGAACAGGGGAACAAACAGGAUAAAAGCAGUUCCUGAGUCACAGGACCCACGUGCCGUUCCACAUUUGUGGAUGUGGCAUAAGAGCCUUCCUUUUUUUUUCUGCGAUGUGCAGUUUCUAUUGCCAUUACAACUCAACUUGUACAUGCGUUCGCAAAGGAAAGUCUUACCCUGCACGUCGCUGUCGGCCCAAUUUUGUUAAUGUUUUCAAGGCCUGGGAUUAGUUUGGAUUCUGGAUACACACUCAGGAAGGAAUCCUAAUUUUUCCCCAAGGUCUGGUGGAGGCUUUUUUUGGUUUUAUUUAUACGUCAUGUAUUUCCACAUUUGUUGGAAUAUAGUAUUAACUGUGUAUAUCUAUGCCUGAAAGGAAGAAAAAAACAAAACGGAAUGCAUGUACAAUUCAUUAGAGUUAUCGCUAUUUUAAGUAUUUUAGCUCUGUUUAAUAUUUUUAGGAAUGCUUAUCACCAACUUCAGAAAAUGCUCGCUUUGAGGGCUGUUGAGUUAUGGAUGCGUUAGUUGGCAAUUUAAUCGUAUUGUAAAAUCAUAUUUUAUGUGUAUUUGCUUGACAAUUUUGAAACGUUUCUGUUCAAAAGAUUUAAUGGUUGGUAUUUUAAUGGCAACCCAACCUGGGAUGGGCCAACUGCCAGUUAAGGGGACUAAACUCAAAUUUACCUAAUACAUGUUUAGUUGGAAAGAGUUCCAUAUACGGAUGCCAGUAAUUAUUCCCUACGGUGACUUAAUAGCCAUCAGAAAGCAAAAAUACAUCCAGAGAAGUUCAGUUUAGGAGGGACAGUACCGAGUUGUUUACUCAGAAAAUACUCAGAACUUUUCAGACCAGUCUCAAGGGUUUAUGCAAUGGGUGUCAAGCGGCGUCCGCAUACGGAACUCUCUCCGUAUAUUUCAUGAUUAUAACUCACCAAAAAAAAUAAAGGGCAAAAUCUAUAUACAGUUUCAAACAAUUAGAAUUCACCAAACAUGAUUAAUCCACAGGGAGAGCAGGGUACAUGUAGUUCUAAUAAUAGCCAUGUAAAUGCAAAGAAAAAUAGUUACUGACACAGCAGAGAAUGUGCCAAUAAUAGCCAUGUAAAUGCAAAGAAAAAUAGUUACUGACACAGCAGAGAAUGUGCCCGUGGAAAGGGGCUGACUACGGUCAAACAAUAUUGCAGUCGGGUCUGCAGGGUUGUCGCUACAUUGGCCAGCACCGGUCGGUGCUAGCCACCACUCAACAUUACCUGCCAGCACUGGGAAUGGAAAUGAAGCUUGCCAGCCAGCACAGAUCACAAUGUAUAUUAAUUAUGACAGUUUUUUACCAUUGGGAGAGAAAAUGGGCUCUCAUUGUUUUUUAAAUUUUCACAAACAGCCAGCACUAAACAAAAAUCCUAGCUACAACCCUUCAAGUUGUGGUAGCAAAAUGAAGGAAAGGUAAAAAGAGUAUUAAAGUUGGAAUAUACUCACAUUAAGACUGCUCAAGCCGGUGAACCCUUCCAGAAAAAUGCUGCCGGUGGGUGGUGGUGAUGCUAAGUAACAAAUGUAAUACAUUGCAGCAAACCAAGGCAAACUCUCUAAACAUAGAGAACAAAAUCACACCACCACUAUGUCCCAGUCAUAAGUCCAUGCCCUACUGGCCUAACAGGCAGCUUUUUUAGGCCUGGUUACUAUAAUUUAAGAGGAAUGCUAAGCAGGACUAGACAUGUUUAAGGAAUUCACAGAACUCCUUAAUGAGCUAAAGAAACAGUGCAUGUCUCAAAGGCACAGAGCCAGGGAAAAGCUCCACUGUGAAGAGUGAGGAACAAAGGUACAUGAACAAUAGAUGCUACACAGUACUGGGUCAAGACACCAAUCCAACUUAAAGGUGCAAUUGCAUGGCUUUAAAAAAGGAGCAACUGACUCCAGUUUUGAUACAUUAUAAAUAGAAUUUAUCGAGCUGCUUGCAUCUGGUUGAUUUUAUCUCUUUAUGAUCAGGAAAGCAGGUCAGAGUGAUGUACACUUGACUUGACAGACUCCAUCUCAGAAUUUGGGGGCCACACUUGCCCAUACUUGUCAGGUUAUUGUCUUAUUAUUGAUGCACUUUUAGAACUUUUGAUGAACUUUUUAACACCAAAGUCAAGUUUUGCCUGAUAACUCCUAAACACUGUGCACUAUUUUGUCAAAUCAAACACAAUGUUGGAACUACAGUUUGUCAACUUUUUUCCCCUGAAACAAGGACAGAUGCCUCAGAGGCGUUUUAGUGUGGCACAGGGGCCUUUCUACUGUCUACCCCCACCAUUGACAGUAAUAUUUUACUCCUGUGUGAUGUUAACCUCAGGUUUCCUCUUCAGUCACGGGGUGGGAGACAGGAUAUGCCAAGUUUCCUCCUUUUUUUUUGACGAUCAGUGCUGUGGUUUAGACCUGUUCCAGGUCUGCUUCUGGGAAGAAAGUCUCCUGUUGCUGUCCCUUGUUGAGCAAAACACCUCACAAGAAAUGAUUCUCAUUUUGUGCAUGGUCUGACAACUAACUGGUGCAUUGAUACUACUUUAAAAUAAUGUUCAAGCUUUGAGGCAGUGAAAUGGACUGAAAUGGUUACAUUUUAGUAUUUUGUACAAAUUGUUAAACUACCAAUUUUUACAGAGGAAAAAGCAACUGUUGUACACUGUCCAUGCUUUCUGAAUUGAAAUUUUGUGCAUUAUGCCGUGCUUUUGUGCACCAGAAAAAUCACCUGUAUAUUUUUAAACUGCACUUGAAUGAAACAGCAUGUACAUGUACAUUUUAUAAGCAUGUAAUUAGUGUAUACACACAGUUUUUGAAACCAUGUUGAAUGGUUGAGAUUGAUAUAUGAAUGUGCCUGAUAAUUGUGUAGAAUGUAAAUUGUGUUCCAUACAUAAAUCUAUAUUAUACUUAGGAAGUGUACACACUGAAACUAUUUGAAGUCAUAUAUGUCAGAUUGUUCAUUAAAUCAUCUUAUCCAUUGCA
This 4746-nucleotide unclassified non-coding RNA is filed under the name Acanthaster planci (crown-of-thorns starfish). RNAcentral describes it as "phospholipid phosphatase 1-like, transcript variant X4". Lineage: Eukaryota; Metazoa; Echinodermata; Asteroidea; Valvatida; Acanthasteridae. The record is from RNAcentral.